GACACAUUUAGUCAUGCCUGGCCACCAGCAACGUCUCUUGACGAACUCUCAGGCGUGAGCCUCGGCGCACCAUCAAGUCUACUUCCAGCGGAUGGGUGCCACAGCUUUAGAGCUGGUGUUUUGAAUCGUCGAAAGAGGGCGCUGCGCGGCGAGAAAUAAGGAAUUUGAAACUAUUAAAAUGGGAACCAAUCGGCCUGCCUUCGAUUCAGCCUUCUCGCAUCCUGGAUUUAAGUUAGGUGUUUGUGGUCGGUCCAUACCACAAACAGAUGUUUGGGCUCCCUCAAUCCCCGCUCCUCCAGCGCCAGUCUAACGACCAACAAUUCCUGAUUUCCAGUGUCAUAGUCUGCCAGGGUCCGGGGCAGAUCAUUGGGACAAAAUGGCCCCUACUGCCAUGUCCAACACAACGACCUCCUCCACAAAAGGUAAGUACGAGUCCGGUGGAACUAGGAGAGGUGCCGAUGUGAACCUUUGUUUUAACUCCUGGAAAGCCGCCUUGGGCCAGCGAAGGUCCCAGUACAUGUCUUGGUGAGUUGGUGAGCAGCAUUACCACUGAACUGGAAUUGCGGAUGAACAGCCCCUAAAGAAAACUGCAGGAGUUGUUUCACGGAAGGUGGGCUGCGGCCGAAUCCAGAUUGCUUGGGUCUAUUUGAAGGCUGCCUUUAGAUAUAACAAACCCAAGGAAGUAAACUUGGAAUACAUGGAAUCCACUCUUCUUGAGCUUAACGAAUAAUCAAUUCUCAAGUUGCCAUUGUAGAACCUGCUGGACGUGUUCCUGAGUGGACCUGGAGAAAAUGUGUAUAUUCUAAGUAGACAAAGCAUCUGCAUCGAUGAAGGCUUGAAAUGCCGCUGGAGUGUUUGCCAAUUCUAAAGGCAUGACCCGCUCGGUAUUCAUAGAAUGCCGUUUACCAUUUGUCUCCUUCACAAAUGCAGAUUAGGUUAUAGGCGCUGAUGAGGUUCAAGUUAGUAAAUAAUGUAGCUCCUUGGCCGUGUUUAAGAGAGGGAGAGGUCACCGGUUUUUAGCAGUGAUCAUAUUUAACUCGCCACUUUGAACAGACGGUUUGGUAUGUUUUUCACAGAGUUUUGCAAGGUCAGAUCUAUAACCAAGCCUGACUCCUAUGCUCUUCGUCGGGUGCAAGGGUCAGAGAUGUCUCGGAGAGGCUGCAGGGCAUUCUGAAAGGGUAGGGUGAGCAGCCAGCUGUCAUGGUACAUAACGAUAUAGGAACAAAGUUGGAUGAGGUCCUACAAGCUGAGUUUAGGGAGCUAGGAGAUAAAUUAAAGAGUGGGACCUCGAAGGUAAUAAUUUCAGGAUUAUUACCAGUGCCAUGUGCUAGCCAGAGUUGGAAUAGCAGGAUAGCUAGAGUGAAUAUGUGGCUUGAGCGGUGGUGCAGGAGGGAGGGUUUCAGAUUCUGGGGGCAUUGGAACCGCUUCUGGGGGAGGUGGGACCAGUACCAUCCAGACGGUCUACAUCUGGGCAGGGCCAGGAUCAAUGUCCUCGGGAGAUUGUUUCCUAGUGCUGUUGGGGAGGCUUUAAACUAAUAUGGCAGGGGAAUGGGAACCCACACAGAAAAGAAGAGGGGAGUGGUACAGAGACCGAAGCUAGAGCUAGUGAAGAAAAAAAGUAAGAGUAGAGUGCAUAAAGGUAGAAAGCAAAAAUCACAUAGGUCACAAGAUUCUAAAAAGACAAUGAAUAUAAAGGCACUUUAUCUAAAUGCCCAUAGUAUUAGAAACAAGGUUAGUGAACUUGCGCCACAGAUCAGUACCAAGGCGUAUGAUUUCAUGGCCAUUACAGAAACCUGGUUGCAAGGGGGAGAUGACUGGGGAUUAAAUCUCCAAGGUCAUACAGAAAGAUAGGCAGGAAGGCAGAGGAAGUGGGGUGGUGCUCUUAAUUAAGGAUGAGAUCAGGGUGAUUGUGAGAGACGGUAUAAGAUCUACGGAGCAGAAUGUUGAGUCCAUCUGGGUAGAGAUUAAGAAUAGUAAAGUGAAAAAAUCGCUGGUUUGUGUUGUCUAUAGGUGAUUAACCAAGAAUUAACUGAGGCUUGUAAGAACAGAACGGCAGUUCUCAUGGGGGAUUUUAACUUCCACAUAGAUUGGGUGAAUCGGGUUGGUCAAGGAAGUCUUGAGGAGGACUUCACAGAAUGCAUCCGUGAUGGCUUUCUUGAGCAGCAUGUUAGUGAAUCUACAAGGGAAACUGUUAUCUUAGAUCUAGUCUUGUGCAAUGAGACAGGUAAGAUUAACGAUCUUGUAGUCAGGGAUCCUCUUGGAAAGAGUGAUCAUAGUAUGAUUGAAUUUCACAUUCAAAUGGAGGAUGAAAUAGUUAGAUCUAAAACUAGUGUAUUAUGCUUGAACAAGGGAGACUGCAACGGGAUGAGGGAGGAGGUGGUUAAUGUGGAUUGGUAGGACAGUUGAGGAACAGUGGAAUACUUCCAAAGAGAUUUUUCACAGUGCUCAACAAAAAUAUAUUCCAGUCAGAAGUAAGGACAGUAAGUGUGGGGAGAGCCAGCCUUGGAUAACUAAGGAAAUAAAAGAUAGUAUCAAAUUAAAAGCUCAUGUGUACAAAGUUGCAAAUAGUGGGAGACUGGAGGAUUGGAAAACUUUAAAAAGCAACAGAGAACAACUAAACAAGAAAUAAGGAAAGGGAAGAUAGAGUAUGAAAGUAAAUUGUUACAAAGGUGGAGCAACUCUGAGGGGCCGAAGGGUACAAAGACGCCCCCUCCUUUUUGAGAAUCGCAAGAUCGCUAUUAUUUCGGGUCUGAGACCCAGGAAAUGAGAGAGAGACACACAGAAUACACAACCAGGUGGAAUGUCUCCUGACAUAAGCAGAACAGAAUCACUGAUUACUGCCAUUGUCUCUUGGAGAAGGAAUUGUGUAUUGAGUACUGUACUAUUCAUUGAAACCCCUCAGGGGACAACCAGAGUGGUCUGGUUGAGGGAUUGCAUCAUCCCAACCUGAAUGACAUCUGAGACCCCGUGAGUAAGGAUAAAAGAGGGGUCUGGGGAACACCCCUUUAGACGCACCAGGAGAAACGCUAGAAAUCCCGUGACAGCGUUUUAUAGCGAAAGCUGUUGGGAGCUCGUGUGCAUCCUCCCUUGCCUGGGUGGCGGGCUCACCACGGAAGAACGGUUUAGCUAAAGGAGAGGCCACAAGUGAACGGCCACGACUACGAGACACCUGACGGAUCGAAAUCAUAAAGGAAGGUAGGCAAAACCCGUAGCGGUAAAUGUUCCCAUUCUCUCUCUCUCUCUCUCUCCAACAAUUGCAACCCAGUGACAACCAAAAGACGGCAGCUUGUGUGAACUGCAGCGAACUUUAUAUUUCCAUCGGACAACACAUUAUCCCCUAGACAACGAUAGAGCUUAUUCCUUAUUGAUUAUUAUUAUACCCACACUUUUAGGUUUAGUAUUGACGGCAUAUAUUAUCUGUAUAUUUGCAUUGAUAUUAAUUUUGUGUAUUUUUACUAAUAAAUACUGUAAAAAAAAAGUAUCAUCAGACUUCAACGUACGUCUCUAUCUUUGCUGGUAAGUAACCCAGUUACGGGGUUCGUAACAAAAUUAACACAAAAUAUAAAAACAUAGCAAAAGUUUUUUUAAAUAUAUAAAGCAGAAGAGGGUGGGUAAAGUCAACGUAGGUCCCUUGGAAGAUGACAAGGGGAAAUUGAUAUUGGGUGAUAAGGAAAUGGCUGAGACAUUGAACGACUAUUUUGUGUCAGUCUUCACGGUGGAGGACAUGUCUAAUAUGCCAAAGAAGGAUAUUAUGGACAAGAUAAGAGGUGAGAACCUCGAUAAAAUCACUGUCACUGAAGAGAUAGUGAUGAGCAAACUCGAGGACCUGAAGGUAGUUCAGUCCCUUGGUCCAGAUGGGAUGCAUCCCAGGGUGCAGAAGGAAUUGGUGGUUAUAGUAGAUGCGUUGGUAAGCAUUUAUAAAAACUCUCUGAACUCUGAGCAGGUCCAGCAGAUUGGAAGACAUCAGUUGUCAUGCCACUUUUUAAAAAAGGAUGUAGGCAAAAGAUGGGCAAUUAUAGGCCAGUUAGCCAGGUAGUUGGGAAAAUGCUUGAAGCUGUCAUUAAUGAAGAAACAGAAAAACAUUUAGAAAGGAGGGGUUCCAUUAGACAGACACAGCAUGGAUUCAGAAAGGGCAGGUCCUGUUGGACAAACUUCCGGAGUUCUUUGAGGACAUAAUGAGUGCAGUGGAUAGAGGGGAACAGGUGAAUGUCGUAUACUUGGGUUUCCAGAAGGCGUUCGACAGUGUGCCAUACAAGAGACUCAUAAAUAAGAUACAGAUGCAUGGAGUCAGAGGAAGUGCAUUGGCAUGGAUAGUGAAAUGGUUACCAAUAGAAGGCAGAGAGUUGGUAUAAAUGUGUGUUUCUCCAGUUGGCAGUCAGUGGUGAGUGGGGUGCCGCAGGGGUCGGUACUGGGCCCGCAGCUGUUUACCAUUUACAGUGAUGAUUUGGAAGAGGGGACUGAGUGUAGCGUAGCAAAAUUUGCUAGUGACACUAAACUGAGUGGAAAAGCAAAUUAUACAGAGGAUGUGGAGAGUCUGCAGAGGGAUAUAGAUAGGUUAAGUGAGUGGGCCAAGGCCUGGCAGAUGGAAUACAACGUUGGAAGGAAGAUUAUCCGCUUUGGAAGGAAUAAUAGAACAGAUUAUUAUUUAAAUGGUGAAAGAUUGCAGCAUGCUGUCAUGCAGAGGGACUUGGGGGUGCUUGUUCAUGAAUCACAAAAAGUUGGCUCGCAGGUACAACAUGUUAUUAAGAAGGCAAACAAUGUUGGCUUUCAUUAUUAGAGCGAUUGAAUUCAAGUGCAGGGAGGUCAUGCUGCAACUAUACAGGGUACUGGUGAAGCUGCACCUGGAGAACUGUGUGCAGUUCUGGUCUCCGUACUUGAGGAAGGAUAUACUGGCUUUGGAGGCAGUGCAGAGGAGGUUCACCAGAUUGAUUCCAGGGAUGAAGGGUUUAACCUAUGAGGAGAGAUUGAGUCAUCUGGGACUAUACUCUCAGGAAUUCAGGAAAAUGAGAGGGGAUCAUAUAGAAACGUACACAAUUUUGAAAGGGAUAGAUAAGAUAGAAGUAGGAAAGUUGUUUCCAUUGGUAGGUGAGACUAGAACUAGGGGACAUUGCCUCAAGAUUCGGGGAGAAGAUUUAGGAUGGAGAUGAGGAGAAACUGUUUUUCCAGAGUGUGGUGAAUCUGUGGAAUUCCGUGCCCAGGGAAGCAGUUAAGGCUUCUUCACUGAAUAUAUUUAAGAUACAGUUAGAUAGAUUUUUACAUAGUAGGUGAAUUAAGGAUUAUGGGGAAAAGGCAGGUAGAUGGAGCUGAGUUUACGGACAGAUCAGCCAUGAUUUUAUUAAGUUGCGGGGCAGGCUGGAUGGACUGGAUGGCCUACUCCUGCUCCAAUUUCUUAUGUUCAUAGGUUCUUAUGUUAUGUAGACGAUCACAUUGACCAGGUUGGCUCCUCAUCCUUUGUCACUAAAUGGGAUCACUUAAAGGACUGUUGGUAAGUGCCAUUAACCCAGCAAGCCCGUGAUAUUUCUGCUUUUGUGACUCCUAAUGCUUUUUGCCAGUACUAGGUCAUGCCUUUUGGAAUGAGGAAUGCAGCAGCAACUUUUCAGGGUCUGAUCAAUAAGGUGCUGGAGGGAUUUGCAGGUUGUGAUGCUUACCUUGAUGAUUUGGUAAUUUACAGCUUUAUCUGGUCUCAACAUAAAGCCCAGAUAGAGCAGGAGUUCAACUGGCUUGUGGUUGCAAAUUUGACCCUGAACCUCGCCAGGCAUGAAUUUGGGCAAACUACAGUUACUGACCUGGGUAAAGUUGUAGGCUAGGGUCAAGUCUGCCCUACUGGGGCUAAAGUAGAGGCUAUUGUGAACUCUGUGUCAGCAUCCCAGAGAGAUCUGAAACAGUUCCUUGGGAUGGCAGGUCACUAUUGAAAUUUUUGCAGAAAAUUUUCCACUGUUCCUACACCCUUAACUUUCCUGCUUAGUCCCAAGGUUCCUUAUGUUUGGACGGAAUUUUGUCAGUGUGCCUUUGAGAAUUUGAAGGCAUUGCUGAGCAGUGCUCCUGUCUGAGCAGCUCCUGAGUUCAGUGGGCCCUUUAAGCUAGCUGUUGAUGCUAAUGACGUUCGUGUCGAAGCUGUGCUCCUCCGAAAUGAUUCGCAGGGUGUGAGCAUCUCUGAAAUCUGAGGUCAAGCAGAAGCUCUACUCCACAAUAGAGGAAGUGGUCAUGUUAAUUAUUCUUGCCCUGAAUCAUUUUGAUGUCUGUUUUCUUUUCCAAUUUUCCACUCAUUGUGUAUACAGACCAUAACCAUCUGGACUUUCUCCACAGCAUGAGGAAUUCUAACCAGCGUCUAAUGUGGUGGAGUUUAUUCCUGCAAGGUAUGACCGGAAGCUUUGCCACAUCUGUGGAAGGGACAAUGUGCUAGCGGAUGUCCUUUUGAAGUUAGGGCAGUAAUAUGCCUAGAUGCGGCUAAACUGCCGGAAAUAGAAGAAGAAGAAGAAGAAGAAGAAGCUGUGGUGCUGGAAAACGCCAUAUGAAUCCACAGUGUCUUUCUGCAAGAAAAGUUCAUCCAGCC
Molecule: long non-coding RNA, 6553 nt
Organism: Hypanus sabinus (Atlantic stingray)
Lineage: Eukaryota; Metazoa; Chordata; Chondrichthyes; Myliobatiformes; Dasyatidae
Exons: 3
Source: RefSeq, a predicted model, not a curated record